GAUCAUGGCUCAGGACGAACGCUGGCGGCGUGCCUAACACAUGCAAGUCGAACGGAACUGUUUUGAAAGAUUUCUUCGGAAUGAAUUUGAUUUAGUUUAGUGGCGGACGGGUGAGUAACGCGUGAGUAACCUGCCUUCAAGAGGGGGAUAACAUUCUGAAAAGAAUGCUAAUACCGCAUGAUAUAUCGGAAUCACAUGAUUUUGAUAUCAAAGAUUUUAUCGCUUGAAGAUGGACUCGCG
This 240-nucleotide ribosomal RNA is filed under the name uncultured bacterium. RNAcentral's name for it is "partial 16S ribosomal RNA". It matches the Rfam family "Bacterial small subunit ribosomal RNA", at positions 15 to 235 of the family's 1533-position model. The record is from RNAcentral.